RNAcentral lists this ribosomal RNA (324 nucleotides) under uncultured eukaryote. RNAcentral describes it as "partial 18S ribosomal RNA". It matches the Rfam family "Eukaryotic small subunit ribosomal RNA", at positions 1470 to 1796 of the family's 1831-position model. The record is from RNAcentral.
CCCUUAGAUGUUCUGGGCCGCACGUGCGCUACACUGAUGCAUUCAACGAGUUUCUUCCUGGUCCGAGAGGAAUGGGUAACCUUUUGAAAGUGCAUCGUGAUAGGGAUAGACUAUUGCAAUUAUUGGUCUUCAACGAGGAAUUCCUAGUAGACGUAGUUCAUCAGACUGCAUCGAUUACGUCCCUGCCCUUUGUACACACCGCCCGUCGCUCCUACCGAUUGAAUGCUCAGGUGAGCCAUUCGGACUUUCAUCAUGCUGGUUUCCAGUUUUGAUGAAGGAAAGUCUUGCGAACCUUAUCAUUUAGAGGAAGGAGAAGUCGUAACA